CUUUCGUUCCACCGGCACCACAUUUGCUCAGGCCAAUCUACACCCCAUGGCCAUUAAAAGUUAUUCAAAUCAUGACACUGCACCCCACGGUUUAGGUUCUAGGGGGCGCCAAAAAUAACCCUAAAAUCCACAUAUUUAAAAGUCUUAUAACUUUUUAUUUUUGUCCCCACUGGCCUCCAAGUUUUCUAGGAUGAUGCAAUGUCCAGCCAUCAACACAUUUGUGAAGGAAUUUUUACUCGGCAAAAGAGCGCCCCCCCAUGGCAGGAGAAAAAAGUCAAUUUUUUCUUGUCCACUAAGGUGAAAAUACACAUUGUUGAGUGCUACGCCUGUAUGUUUUGUCGUAUUGACACAAAAUUUUACAUACACGUGUAUUUACAUAAGAUCUUCGAAAAAGUCAAUGGCCACGUAUCUGUAAAAUGUACGGUUAAAGGGUUAUUUCGCAUUUUUUGCAGAUUCGCACACAUUGGAAUUUCGCUAAUUCCUCCGAAGGCUUUCGUUCCACCGGCACCACAUUUGCUCAGGCCAAUCUACACCCCAUGGCCAUUAAAAGUUAUUCAAAUCAUGACGCUGCACCCCACGGUUUAGGUUCUAGGGGGCGCCAAAUAUAACCCUAAAAUCCACAUAUUUAAAAGUCUUAUAACUUUUUAUUUUUGUCCUCACUGGCCUCCAUGUUUUCUAGGAUGAUGCAAUGUCCAGCCAUCAACACAUUUGUGAAGGAGUUUUUUCUCUUUAAAAGAGCGCCCCCCCAUGGCAGGAGAAUAAAGUCAAGUUUUUCCUGUUCAUCAUUCAAUGGCUCAAACGCACUGCUCUCUCGGCAAAAGCGAAAGGAGGAGCAACUUGCCAUUUGGAUAUAUCUUAGCUGUGUUUGUGCCCUCACUCAUGGUCCAGACUUUUUUCAAAUAGGACAUGGAGUUUUUCUGCAGCGAGCGUUUUGGUAGAAACUGCGCCUCCCGUUCAUUAUAAUGGUAAAUGACCACAAACAAGUGCGCACACCAUCUUUGGACCUUGAGUGUGACGCGAUCGGGUGGGGGAGGCGGUCGCGCUGGGGGCGGCGUGACACGGCUCGGGCCCGCCAGUGCCCCAACGGGGCCCUAGUUCUUUAGGGCCCGAGCGUAGCUGCUAAGCAGCUGCGAGAGCCCUCUUGUUCCUGUAGUUUCCUUCUUUUGUUAUUAUUAUUAUUAUUUUUCCUCCCCUUUGAACUGGAAAAUGGCCCACUUCCCACUGGCGAAAACUCAUGAAAUUUGGCAGGACGACCGGGCCUGGUGAAAAAUUUGAUAUUCCGAAGUCGCCCAAACAAGAAAAUGCAAAAUGGCUCCAUAGCGCCCCCUAAGGUGAAAAUUCACACUAUUGACUGUCACGCCGGUACGCUUUGUCAAAAUGACACAAAAAUUGACACACACAUGUAUCUCAAUAAGAUCUACAAAAAAGUCAGUGCGGGCGUAUCUGUCAAAUGUACGGUUAAAGGGUUAUUUCGCAUUUUUUGCCGAUCCGCACACAUUGGAAUUUCGCUAACUCCUCCGAAGGCUUUCGUUCCACCGGCACCACAUUUGCUCAGGCCAAUCUACACCCCAUGGCCAUUAAAAGUUAUUCAAAUCAUGACGCUGCACCCCACGGUUUAGGUUCUAGGGGGCGCCAAAGAUAACCCUAAGAUCCACAUAUUUAAAAGUCUUAUAACUUUUUAUUUUUGCCCUCACUGGCCUCCAAGUUUUCUAGGAUGAUGCAAUGUCCAGCCAUCAACACAUUUGUGAAGGAAUUUUUACUCCCCAAAAGAGCGCCCCCCCAUGGCAGGAGAAAAAAGUCCAUUUUUUCUUGUCCCCUAAGGUGAAAAUACACAUUGUUGAGUGUAACACCUGUACGCUUUGGCAAAAUGACACAAAAAUUGACACACACAUGUAUCUCAAUAAGAUCUACGAAAAAGUCAAUGCGCGCGUAUCUGUCAAAUGUACGGUUAAAGGGUUAUUCCGCAUUUUUUGCCGAUCCGCACACAUUGGAAUUUCGCUAACUCCUCCGAAGGCUUUCGUUCCACCGGCACCACAUUUGCUCAGGCCAAUCUACACCCCAUGGCCAUUAAAAGUUAUUCAAAUCAUGACGCUGCACCCCACGGUUUAGGUUCUAGGGGGAGCCAAAGAUAACCGUAAAAUCCACAUAUUUAAAAGUCUUAUAACUUUUUAUUUUUGUCCCCACUGGCCUCCAAGUUUUCUAGGAUGAUGCAAUGUCCAGCCAUCAACACAUUUGUGAAGGAAUUUUUACUCGCCAAAAGAGCGCCCCCCCAUGGCAGGAGAAAAAAGUCAAUUUUUUCUUGUCCACUAAGGUGAAAAUACACAUUGUUGAGUGCUACGCCUGUAUGUUUUGUCGUAUUGACACAAAAUUUUACAUACACGUGUAUUUACAUAAGAUCUUCGAAAAAGUCAAUGGCCACGUAUCUGUAAAAUGUACGGUUAAAGGGUUAUUUCGCAUUUUUUGCAGAUUCGCACACAUUGGAAUUUCGCUAAUUCCUCCGAAGGCUUUCGUUCCACCGGCACCACAUUUGCUCAGGCCAAUCUACACCCCAUGGCCAUUAAAAGUUAUUCAAAUCAUGACGCUGCACCCCACGGUUUAGGUUCUAGGGGGCGCCAAAUAUAACCCUAAAAUCCACAUAUUUAAAAGUCUUAUAACUUUUUAUUUUUGUCCUCACUGGCCUCCAUGUUUUCUAGGAUGAUGCAAUGUCCAGCCAUCAACACAUUUGUGAAGGAAUUUUUUCUCUUUAAAAGAGCGCCCCCCCAUGGCAGGAGAAUAAAGUCAAGUUUUUCCUGUUCAUCAUUCAAUGGCUCAAACGCACUGCUCUCUCGGCAAAAGCGAAAGGAGGAGCAACUUGCCAUUUGGAUAUAUCUUAGCUGUGUUUGUGCCCUCACUCAUGGUCCAGACUUUUUUCAAAUAGGACAUGGAGUUUUUCUGCAGCGAGCGUUUUGGUAGAAACUGCGCCUCCCGUUCAUUAUAAUGGUAAAUGACCACAAACAAGUGCGCACACCAUCUUUGGACCUUGAGUGUGACGCGAUCGGGUGGGGGAGGCGGUCGCGCUGGGGGCGGCGUGACACGGCUCGGGCCCGCCAGUGCCCCAACGGGGCCCUAGUUCUUUCUUUCUUCUUUUUCCUCCCCUUUGAACUGGAAAAUGGCCCACUUCCCACUGGCGAAAACUCAUGAAAUUUGGCAGGACGACCGGGCCUGGUGAAAAAUUCGAUAUUCUGAAGUCGCCCAAACAAUAAAAUGCAAAAUGGCUCCAUAGCGCCCCCUAAGGUGGAAAUUCACACUAUUGACUGUCACGCCUGUACGCUUUGUCAUAUUGACACAAAAAUUGACACACAUAUGUAUCUCAAUAAGAUGUACAAAAAAGUCAGUGCGGCCGUAUCUGUCAAAAUUACGGUUAAAGGGUUAUUACGCAUUUUUUGCCGAUCCGCACACAUUGGAAUUUCGCUAACUCCUCCGAAGGCUUUCGUUCCACCGGCACCACAUUUGCUCAGGCCAAUCUACACCCCGUGGCCAUUAAAAGUUAUCAAAAUCAUGACGCUGCACCCCAAGGUUUAGGUUCUAGGGGGCGCCAAAGAUAACACUAAAAUCCACAUAUUUAAAAGUCUUAUAACUUUUUAUUUUUGUCCUCACUGGCCUCCAAGUUUUCUAGGAUGAUGCAAUGUCCAGCCAGUAACACAUUUGUGAAGGAAUUUUUACUCCCCAAAAGAGCGCCCCCCCAUGGCAGGAGAAAAAAGUCCAUUUUUUCUUGUCCCCUAAGGUGAAAAUACACAUUGUUGAGUGUCACGCCUAUACGCUUUGUCAAAAUGACACAAAAAUUGACACACACAUGUAUCUCAAUAAGAUCUACGAAAAAGUCAAUGUGCGCGUAUCUGUCAAAUGUACGGUUAAAGGGUUAUUCCGCAUUUUUUGCCGAUCCGCACACAUUGGAAUUUCGCUAACUCCUCCGAAGGCUUUCUGUCCACCGGCACCACAUUUGCUCAGGCCAAUCUACACCCCAUGGCCAUUAAAAGUUAUUCAAAUCAUGACGCUGCACCCCACGGUUUAGGUUCUAGGGGGCGCCAAAGACAACCCUAAAAUCCACAUAUUUAAAAGUCUUAUAACUUUUUAUUUUUGUCCUCACUGGCCUCCAAGUUUUCUAGGAUGAUGCAAUGUCCAGC
Xyrichtys novacula (pearly razorfish) is the source of this 4163-nucleotide non-coding RNA. The record is from the annotation of a GenBank genome assembly. Lineage: Eukaryota; Metazoa; Chordata; Actinopteri; Labriformes; Labridae.